Molecule: small nuclear RNA, 107 nt
Organism: Otolemur garnettii (small-eared galago)
Lineage: Eukaryota; Metazoa; Chordata; Mammalia; Primates; Galagidae
Source: Ensembl
GUGCUUGCUUCGGCAGCACAUAUACGAAAAUUGGAACAAUACAGAGAAGAUUAGCACGUCCCCUGCUCAAGGAUGACACGCAAAUUCAUGAGGCUUUCCAUAUAUAU